AGUGGGGAAUUUUGGACAAUGGGCGAAAGCCUGAUCCAGCCAUGCCGCGUGCAGGAUGAAGGCCUUCGGGUUGUAAACUGCUUUUGUACGGAACGAAAAGACUCUGGUUAAUACCUGGGGUCCAUGACGGUACCGUAAGAAUAAGCACCGGCUAACUACGUGCCAGCAGCCGCGGUAAUACGUAGGGUGCAAGCGUUAAUCGGAAUUACUGGGCGUAAAGCGUGCGCAGGCGGUUAUAUAAGACAGAUGUGAAAUCCCCGGGCUCAACCUGGGAACUGCAUUUGUGACUGUAUAGCUAGAGUACGGCAGAGGGGGAUGGAAUUCCGCGUGUAGCAGUGAAAUGCGUAGAUAUGCGGAGGAACACCGAUGGCGAAGGCAAUCCCCUGGGCCUGUACUGACGCUCAUGCACGAAAGCGUGGGGAGCAAA
This 427-nucleotide ribosomal RNA is filed under the name Acidovorax temperans. RNAcentral's name for it is "bacterial SSU rRNA". It matches the Rfam family "Bacterial small subunit ribosomal RNA", at positions 353 to 772 of the family's 1533-position model. The record is from RNAcentral. Lineage: Bacteria; Pseudomonadati; Pseudomonadota; Betaproteobacteria; Burkholderiales; Comamonadaceae. RNAcentral also lists the same sequence under 1 other name.